CCUACGGGAGGCAGCAGUGAGGAAUAUUGGUCAAUGGGAGAGAUCCUGAACCAGCCAAGCCGCGUGAGUGAAGACGGCCCUAUGGGUUGUAAACCUCUUUUGUCGGAGAACAAAACCCGGGACGUGUCCCGGCCUCCGUGUAUCCGAAGAAAAAGCAUCGGCAAACUCCGUGCCAGCAGCCGUGGUAAUACGGGGGGUGCGAGCGUUAUCCGGAUUUAUUGGGUUAAAGGGGUGCGUGGGCGGUCCGUUAAGUCAGCGGUAAAGUUGCGGGGCCAAACCCCGUCGAGCCGUUGAAACUGGCAGACGUGAGUUGGCGAGAGGUACGCGGAAUGCGCGGUGUAGCGGUGAAAUGCAUAGAGAUCGCGAAGAACUCCGAUUGCGAAGGCAGCGUACCGGCGGCAGACUGACGCUGAGGCACGAAAGCGUGGGGAUCGAACAGGAUUAGAUACCCGGGUAGUC
RNAcentral lists this ribosomal RNA (459 nucleotides) under uncultured bacterium. RNAcentral describes it as "partial 16S ribosomal RNA". It matches the Rfam family "Bacterial small subunit ribosomal RNA", at positions 338 to 795 of the family's 1533-position model. The record is from RNAcentral.